UGGAGGCCGUUGGAUUCC
RNAcentral lists this unclassified non-coding RNA (18 nucleotides) under Chlamydomonas reinhardtii. RNAcentral describes it as "small RNA Cre_3262". The record is from RNAcentral. Lineage: Eukaryota; Viridiplantae; Chlorophyta; Chlorophyceae; Chlamydomonadales; Chlamydomonadaceae.